UUCGCUACUUUGACGAGAAGGAGCUGGAGCUGAUGCUUUGUGGGAUGCAGGAGAUCGAUUUGGCCGACUGGCAGAAGAACACCAUCUACAGACAUUACACCAAGAACAGCAAGCAGAUCCACUGGUUCUGGCAGGUGGUGAAAGAGAUGGACAAUGAGAAGAGAAUCCGUCUGCUUCAGUUUGUAACGGGAACCUGUCGGCUGCCCGUCGGAGGGUU
Non-coding RNA from Maylandia zebra (zebra mbuna), 217 nucleotides. The record is from RefSeq and is a predicted model, not a curated record. Lineage: Eukaryota; Metazoa; Chordata; Actinopteri; Cichliformes; Cichlidae.